RNAcentral lists this long non-coding RNA (378 nucleotides) under Mytilus galloprovincialis (Mediterranean mussel). The record is from RNAcentral. Lineage: Eukaryota; Metazoa; Mollusca; Bivalvia; Mytilida; Mytilidae.
UCUCGGUACUCUUCGGACUUUAUUAUAUGAUCCAGCAUGGCGUCGGUACCUACUACUGACGAAUUAAAGAAACUUAAAGUUGUUGAGUUAAAACAGAAAUUAACAGAGCUUGGAUUAUCUACUCAAGGUUUUCUUAUUUCCCACCUUCAUUGUAUCGGUCAAUAACGAAUGUUUAAAUGGCUAGCACAGCAAAAUAUAUGUAUCAUACGCUUGGCUCUGUACCAUUUUUUGUUAUCACAACACGGGCCAAAAUUCUGCUACGUUCAUAAUUAUCGGUAUCCUUACCCAACCUAACAUUCCAGCAAUUAGUGUCCAAAGUAACAAAAACGUUUUUGUUAUUGUUUCUUUUUCUGAUAUCAACAUAAUCUAAGCCAGGGC